RNAcentral lists this ribosomal RNA (675 nucleotides) under Agromyces sp. RNAcentral describes it as "bacterial SSU rRNA". It matches the Rfam family "Bacterial small subunit ribosomal RNA", at positions 69 to 756 of the family's 1533-position model. Lineage: Bacteria; Bacillati; Actinomycetota; Actinomycetes; Micrococcales; Microbacteriaceae. The record is from RNAcentral.
GAACUUGGAGCUUGCUCUGGGGGAUUAGUGGCGAACGGGUGAGUAACACGUGAGUAACCUGCCCUGGACUCUGGGAUAACUUCAAGAAAUCGGAGCUAAUACCGGAUAGGACCUUGCACCGCAUGGUGUGGGGUGGAAAGUUUUUCGGUUUGGGAUGGACUCGCGGCCUAUCAGCUUGUUGGUGAGGUAAUGGCUCACCAAGGCGUCGACGGGUAGCCGGCCUGAGAGGGUGACCGGCCACACUGGGACUGAGACACGGCCCAGACUCCUACGGGAGGCAGCAGUGGGGAAUAUUGCACAAUGGGCGCAAGCCUGAUGCAGCAACGCCGCGUGCGGGAUGACGGCCUUCGGGUUGUAAACCGCUUUUAGUAGGGAAGAAGCCUUCGGGUGACGGUACCUGCAGAAAAAGGACCGGCUAACUACGUGCCAGCAGCCGCGGUAAUACGUAGGGUCCGAGCGUUGUCCGGAAUUAUUGGGCGUAAAGAGCUCGUAGGCGGUUUGUCGCGUCUGCUGUGAAAACUAGAGGCUCAACCUCUAGCCUGCAGUGGGUACGGGCAGACUUGAGUGGUGUAGGGGAGACUGGAAUUCCUGGUGUAGCGGUGGAAUGCGCAGAUAUCAGGAGGAACACCGAUGGCGAAGGCAGGUCUCUGGGCACUUACUGACGCUGAGGAGCGA